GUCCCCGUAGUCUAAUGGAUCAAAACAUCCGGCUACGAACCGGAAAAGUGGGGGUUCAAAUCCCUCCGGGGAUA
This 74-nucleotide transfer RNA is filed under the name Lachnospiraceae bacterium. RNAcentral's name for it is "tRNA-Arg". It matches the Rfam family "tRNA". Rfam says of the family: Transfer RNA (tRNA) molecules are approximately 80 nucleotides in length. The record is from RNAcentral. Lineage: Bacteria; Bacillati; Bacillota; Clostridia; Lachnospirales; Lachnospiraceae.